RNAcentral lists this ribosomal RNA (465 nucleotides) under uncultured bacterium. RNAcentral's name for it is "partial 16S ribosomal RNA". It matches the Rfam family "Bacterial small subunit ribosomal RNA", at positions 28 to 507 of the family's 1533-position model. The record is from RNAcentral.
GACCAACGCUGGCGGCGUGCUUAACACAUGCAAGUCGUACGGUAAGGCCCUUUCGGGGGUACACGAGUGGCGAACGGGUGAGUAACACGUGAGUAACCUGCCCACAACUUUGGGAUAACGCUAGGAAACUGGUGCUAAUACUGGAUAUGUGCUCCUGCUGCAUGGUGGGGGUUGGAAAGCUCCGGCGGUUGUGGAUGGACUCGCGGCCUAUCAGCUUGUUGGUGGGGUAGUGGCCUACCAAGGCGGCGACGGGUAGCCGGCCUGAGAGGGUGACCGGCCACAUUGGGACUGAGAUACGGCCCAGACGCCUACGGGAGGCAGCAGUGGGGAAUAUUGCACAAUGGGCGCAAGCCUGAUGCAGCAACGCCGCGUGCGGGAUGACGGCCUUCGGGUUGUAAACCGCUUUCAGCAGGGACGAAGCUUUUUGUGACGGUACCUGCAGAAGAAGCACCGGCUAACUACGUG